CGCACCUUGCGCCCUUUGGUAUUCCGAAGGGCAUGCCUGUUUGAGUGUCAUUAUAUUCUCAACCUUGCAAAGCUUGCUUUGCUAGGCUUGGAUGUGAGGGCCUUGCUGGCUUCCAUUGAGUUGGAUGGUCUGCUCCCUUCAAAUUCAUUAGUGGGAUCCUUUGUGGAUGGUCACUUGGUGUGAUAAUUAUCUACGCCGCCUGACCGUGAAGCAAGACUUGUGGGAACCUGCUUAUAACUGUCUUCUUGGAGACUAUCUUUUGACUAUUUGACCUCAAAUCAGGUAGGACUACCCGCUGAACUUAA
Molecule: unclassified non-coding RNA, 305 nt
Filed under: Laccaria sp.
Lineage: Eukaryota; Fungi; Basidiomycota; Agaricomycetes; Agaricales; Hydnangiaceae
Description: partial contains 5.8S ribosomal RNA, internal transcribed spacer 2, and large subunit ribosomal RNA
Source: RNAcentral